This 468-nucleotide ribosomal RNA is filed under the name uncultured bacterium. RNAcentral describes it as "partial 16S ribosomal RNA". It matches the Rfam family "Bacterial small subunit ribosomal RNA", at positions 28 to 507 of the family's 1533-position model. The record is from RNAcentral.
GAUGAACGCUGGCGGCGUGCUUAACACAUGCAAGUCGAACGGAAAGGCCAGUGCUUGCCCUGGUACUCGAGUGGCGAACGGGUGAGUAACACGUGGGUGAUCUGCCCUGCACUUCGGGAUAAGCCUGGGAAACUGGGUCUAAUACCGGAUAGGACAAUGGUUUGGAUGCCGUUGUGGAAAGUUUUUUCGGUGUGGGAUGAGCUCGCGGCCUAUCAGCUUGUUGGUGGGGUAAUGGCCUACCAAGGCGUCGACGGGUAGCCGGCCUGAGAGGGUGUACGGCCACAUUGGGACUGAGAUACGGCCCAGACUCCUACGGGAGGCAGCAGUGGGGAAUAUUGCACAAUGGGCGCAAGCCUGAGGCAGCGACGCCGCGUGGGGGAUGACGGCCUUCGGGUUGUAAACUCCUGUCGCUAGGGACGAAGCGUAUUUGUGACGGUACCUGGAGAAGAAGCACCGGCUAACUACGUG